This 457-nucleotide unclassified non-coding RNA is filed under the name Hevea brasiliensis (rubber tree). The record is from RNAcentral. Lineage: Eukaryota; Viridiplantae; Streptophyta; Magnoliopsida; Malpighiales; Euphorbiaceae.
UUCUUGGUUCAGAAUUUGGAGAGAUAAGGUACCCUGGACAUUGAAGUUGCUGAUACCUCCAUCACGCUUUAAUGUUACAUUAAUUUUCUCUUCAAUAGUAAGGGUGACAGGGUCAGUUGGUGGUGGAGCAGGUGGCUUGGACGGACCAAUGCUUGGUCUGACAUCUUCGACAAUGACUUCACCCUCAGCUUUCAGGGAUUGCAAAAACUGGUUGGUCCUUUGUGUUUUACCUAGCUGCAUACCAAGACCUUUUGGGGGGCCUGUAGCAGAUGCAACUGGACGACCCUUGGACUUGGUGGAAAAUGAAUCCACAUCAGUGCUUGGUCCAAAUCCAGAACCACUGCCUCCUAAACUAGAUAAGUUUGUAUCACUGCCAAAGCCGGUAUCCAUUCUUCCAGAACCCAUGGAUUGCAGAGACAUGAAACCUCCUUUUUCACCUCUAUUCCUCUCAAUCUUG